CAUGGCGACAAAGUUUUAGAGAAAGACGAUAAAAGUCUGCUUAAAAUAACUGGAUAACACUGUGUUUCUUAGUUUUUAGUUCUUCUUAACUUAUAUUAGAGAUUAAUACAACAUGAGUGAGACAACAACUACCCAAAAAUCAGCUGAUGUCAGUGAAGGAAAUGAUGAAAAACAGACAAAUACUGCUGACAUUAAAGAUGACAUAGGAAAGGAACAUGAAACUGAAGGUAAAAUUAUCUAUUUAUUUUGAACUGUACUUCUUCAAACAUGAGGAAUACCUUUAAGCUUAUAUAAGAUUGUUUGAAUUAGGAAAGUCAUACAACUUUAAGUUCAAUUUCGGAUAAGGGUGACUAUUGAGUUGAUAAAUUCUACAUUGUCAAAGCAAUUUCUGACCAAAAUAUAAGUUAAAAACACUCUUGUUUGUUAAAUUUGAAUGUGAAUAGUUG
RNAcentral lists this long non-coding RNA (446 nucleotides) under Exaiptasia diaphana. RNAcentral describes it as "uncharacterized LOC110244901". The record is from RNAcentral. Lineage: Eukaryota; Metazoa; Cnidaria; Anthozoa; Actiniaria; Aiptasiidae.